This is a transfer RNA of Ovis aries (sheep), 72 nucleotides long. It matches the Rfam family "tRNA". From Rfam's summary of the family: Transfer RNA (tRNA) molecules are approximately 80 nucleotides in length. Their secondary structure includes four short double-helical elements and three loops (D, anti-codon, and T loops). Lineage: Eukaryota; Metazoa; Chordata; Mammalia; Artiodactyla; Bovidae. The record is from Rfam.
UCCCUGGUGGCUUAGAGGUUAAAGUGUCUGCCUCCAAUGCAGGGGACCUGGGUUUGAUCCCUGGAUAGGGAA